RNAcentral lists this transfer RNA (76 nucleotides) under Gammaproteobacteria bacterium. RNAcentral describes it as "tRNA-Lys". It matches the Rfam family "tRNA". Rfam says of the family: Transfer RNA (tRNA) molecules are approximately 80 nucleotides in length. Their secondary structure includes four short double-helical elements and three loops (D, anti-codon, and T loops). The record is from RNAcentral. RNAcentral also lists the same sequence under 1 other name. Lineage: Bacteria; Pseudomonadati; Pseudomonadota; Gammaproteobacteria.
GGGCCGUUAGCUCAGUCGGUAGAGCAUCUGACUUUUAAUCAGGUGGUCGAAGGUUCGAAUCCUUCACGGCCCACCA